GACGAACGCUGGCGGCGUGCUUAACACAUGCAAGUCGAACGGAAAGGCCCUGCUUUUGUGGGGUGCUCGAGUGGCGAACGGGUGAGUAACACGUGAGUAACCUGCCCUUGACUUUGGGAUAACUUCAGGAAACUGGGGCUAAUACCGGAUAGGAGCUCCUGCUGCAUGGUGGGGGUUGGAAAGUUUCGGCGGUUGGGGAUGGACUCGCGGCUUAUCAGCUUGUUGGUGGGGUAGUGGCUUACCAAGGCUUUGACGGGUAGCCGGCCUGAGAGCGUGACCGGCCACAUGGGGACUGAGAUACGGACCAGACUCCUACGGGAGGCAGCAGUGGGGAAUAUUGCACAAUGGGCGGAAGCCUGAUGCAGCAACGCCGCGUGCGGGAUGACGGCCUUCGGGUUGUAAACCGCUUUCGCCUGUGACGAAGCGUGAGUGACGGUAAUGGGUAAAGAAGCACCGGCUAACUACGUG
This 468-nucleotide ribosomal RNA is filed under the name uncultured bacterium. Its description in RNAcentral is "partial 16S ribosomal RNA". It matches the Rfam family "Bacterial small subunit ribosomal RNA", at positions 28 to 507 of the family's 1533-position model. The record is from RNAcentral.